UACGGGGGGAGCAAGCGUUGUUCGGAUUUACUGGGCGUAAAGGGCGCGUAGGCGGUCAGCACAAGUCAGUUGUGAAAUCUCCGGGCUUAACUCGGAAAGGUCAACUGAUACUGUGCGACUAGAGUGCGGAAGGGGCAACUGGAAUUCUUGGUGUAGCGGUGAAAUGCGUAGAUAUCAAGAGGAACACCUGCGGCGAAGGCGGGUUGCUGGGCCGACACUGACGCUGAGGCGCGAAAGCGUGGGGAGCAAACAGG
Molecule: ribosomal RNA, 254 nt
Filed under: uncultured bacterium
Lineage: Bacteria
Description: partial 16S ribosomal RNA
Rfam family: Bacterial small subunit ribosomal RNA
Source: RNAcentral